ACUAGCAGUAAGAGUUUGAUCAUGGCUCAGAACGAACGCUGGCGGCAUGCCUAACACAUGCAAGUCGAACGAGACCUUCGGGUCUAGUGGCGCACGGGUGCGUAACGCGUGGGAAUCUGCCCUUGGGUUCGGGAUAACAGUUGGAAACGACUGCUAAUACCGGAUGAUGACUUCGGUCCAAAGAUUUAUCGCCCAGGGAUGAGCCCGCGUAGGAUUAGCUUGUUGGUGAGGUAAAAGACUCACCAAGGCGACGAUCCUUAGCUGGUCUGAGAGGAUGAUCAGCCACACUGGGACUGAGACACGGCCCAGACUCCUACGGGAGGCAGCAGUGGGGAAUAUUGGACAAUGGGCGAAAGCCUGAUCCAGCAAUGCCGCGUGAGUGAUGAAGGCCUUAGGGUUGUAAAGCUCUUUUACCCGGGAAGAUAAUGACUGUACCGGGAGAAUAAGCCCCGGCUAACUCCGUGCCAGCCGCCGCGGUAAUUC
This 483-nucleotide ribosomal RNA is filed under the name uncultured bacterium. RNAcentral describes it as "bacterial SSU rRNA". It matches the Rfam family "Bacterial small subunit ribosomal RNA", at positions 1 to 526 of the family's 1533-position model. The record is from RNAcentral.